UCUCCGACAUAAGAAAAAAACUAAAGAAGGCGGAGGAGGGCCCCGAGACUCCCAUCCAAAACCUGGUAAAAAUGGCCUUUAAAGUCUUCAAUGCCCGAGAGGAUACGGCRGAAGCUGCACGCCAGGCCCGCCUAAAGCAGAAAGUGACACUUCAAACCCAGG
Long non-coding RNA from Cebus imitator (Panamanian white-faced capuchin), 162 nucleotides. RefSeq lists it as uncharacterized. Lineage: Eukaryota; Metazoa; Chordata; Mammalia; Primates; Cebidae. The record is from RefSeq and is a predicted model, not a curated record. The transcript has 3 exons.